This is a long non-coding RNA of Bombyx mori (domestic silkworm), 951 nucleotides long. RefSeq lists it as uncharacterized. The record is from RefSeq and is a predicted model, not a curated record. The transcript has 2 exons. Lineage: Eukaryota; Metazoa; Arthropoda; Insecta; Lepidoptera; Bombycidae.
CAUAUCAAAUUUUUGUAGUCAAUUAGCGUUUGUGAGCUCAAUUACAGAUAAUUACGUACGAUUAGGUGCGCCCCACCAGGGAUAUCAAAUGACCCAUUUAUACUACUGAAUUUGAUAACAAGAUAAACGUUCAACUAUCGGAUAUCCUGUUGUUGUUGGACCACGAAACUUUGUUGUAACUUAACAUCAACAAAUGUUUGUAGACGCGACAGACUACAACCAACUUACGUAUUUCAUAAAAUUGAAUCACGUGAUAACAUUGACGGAAAAAGACCCUUAAAGGCAAACGGACCUACGGCCUAUCUGACGGUCAGUAUUCUGUACAUGGUCAUCGGUAAUGCGAGGGGCAGAGGCAAGACGUUGCCUACUGCUGAGGGCUCUACUAAAACCUCGUAAAAUAGGAAGUUGUUAGCACUCUGAAAACAUCGCAGUUUACUCCACAGCCGGAUAGUACGUGGCGAAAAAUAUUUCUGGCAAGGCACUAUAGAUGAACACAGUGUUUCUAGGUUGAAUGAAAUAACCGAAGUGAUUCGACGAACAAAAUGAUUCCUCAGAGUAUUCCUCGUAGAACAAAUAAUACUUGAGAUUAAUACUUGAGAUCUUUUCUUAGACCGUGUCUUUUGGUCAAGGUUAUUUCAUAUCAACAUAAUUAAGCAGGAUAAAACAUACAUACCCAGAAAAUAAAUAUUUUUACAUUUAGGGUUAUCGUAGGUGCAAGUGUGAGGCCAUGAAGAUAACACAGAGGAAUUAAAUUGUUUUAUAAGAACUGACUUCAUUUAUUAUUUUUAAUUUUAAGUAAUGUUAUCAAAUUAAAAUAAAACCAGUUACGAAAAUAUUAAGAAUAGGUACAAUUAGUGGUAGAGCUCAAUGAAGCUUAGUCGGUACAAAUUCAUCAAUUCAAUUUGUAAUAAUGUCAUUUUUAUUAAAAUAAAUCAAUUUUUGUAUAUUAAA